CUUCUGGACUCUGCUCUGUGCUCGGUAGAUGGAGCUUGUGUCCUGCUUCUCCUGGGCUUCCUGUCCUUGGGCUACAACUGGCUUCAGUCUGUGGAAGGAAAGAGCAGGAGAAUGAAGGAGGGAACUAGAAUUCUGCAGUGGAGCUUUCUGGAUUGAUAACAAAGCUCAACAUUGCCAGGUUUCUUCAUCAUUGGGAAAUGUGAUUCAGCUGUCCUGCCCCAGAGUGCCUGGUUAGCAUAGCAGAUCCAUCAGAGUCUGCAGAAGGGGAAAGUUUCCGCUCCUCAAGAGUGAUGUCAAGAUCUCCAGUUCUUUUGCUCGGUUCACUCAUGCUCCAGGAGUGUGGGAAUUUUGUCUUCAUCGGUAUAUUCUUCAUAGUAUGCUAAGUCACU
Delphinapterus leucas (beluga whale) is the source of this 389-nucleotide non-coding RNA. NCBI's taxonomy places the organism in Eukaryota, Metazoa, Chordata, Mammalia, Artiodactyla, Monodontidae. The record is from RefSeq and is a predicted model, not a curated record.